RNAcentral lists this unclassified non-coding RNA (380 nucleotides) under fungal sp. RNAcentral describes it as "partial internal transcribed spacer region". The stretch from base 1 to 46 matches the Rfam family "Eukaryotic small subunit ribosomal RNA", at positions 1786 to 1831 of the family's 1831-position model. Lineage: Eukaryota; Fungi. The record is from RNAcentral.
AAGUCGUAACAAGGUUUCCGUAGGUGAACCUGCGGAAGGAUCAUUAACACGUAUCCAACGUUAAACAACCCUGUGAACUUUAAGUCCCCUCUUGCAGCCCAUGAGGAACAGCAAUCCCGGUAAAUCAUUGCCAAACAGUUUUGAUUCGGGACCUCUGUCCAAAAGGAGUUGCAAUCGAAGGGUGGAAGCAGUGGCAUGGCUUCCCCAAGCAGUUAGUGAAUGACAGUGUCACUGACUGUGUAAGGAUAACAGAGGUCGAUCACCGAUGUCACAGGGUCACCACGCCCCUUAAUCACUCUACUUGAAAAUGCCCCGCCCUAGUGGUAACGCGCUAGGUAAAAAAAACCGAACAACUGUUAACAAUGGAUAUCUUGGUUCUC